CACGUAGUUAGCCGGGGCUUCUUAGUCAGGUACCGUCUUUUUUCUUCCCUGCUGAUAGAGCUUUACAUACCGAAAUACUUCUUCACUCACGCGGCGUCGCUGCAUCAGGGUUUCCCCCAUUGUGCAAUAUCCCCCAUGCUGCCUCCCGUAGGAGUUUGGGCCGUGUCUCAGUCCCAAUGUGGCCGGUCACCCUCUCAGGUCGGCUACUGAUCGUUGCCUUGGUGGGCCGUUACCCCUCAACUAGCUAAUCAGACGCGGGUCCAUCUCAUACCGUCUCGGCUUUUCACCCCGAACCAUGCGGUUCUGUGUGCUUAUGCGGUAUUAGCAGUCAUUUCUAACUGUUAUCCCCCUGUAUGAGGCAGGUUACCCACGCGUUACUCACCCGUCCGCCCGCUCAGUCAAUUAACAUUCCAUCCGAAAACUUCCUCUUAAUUGUUUCGCUCGACUUGCAUGUGUUAGGCUACGCCGCCAGCGUUCAUCUGAGCCAGGAUCGAAAACUCU
RNAcentral lists this ribosomal RNA (501 nucleotides) under uncultured Lachnospiraceae bacterium. RNAcentral describes it as "partial 16S ribosomal RNA". Lineage: Bacteria; Bacillati; Bacillota; Clostridia; Lachnospirales; Lachnospiraceae. The record is from RNAcentral.